This 1713-nucleotide long non-coding RNA is filed under the name Homo sapiens (human). RNAcentral describes it as "HSALNT0193237". The record is from RNAcentral. Lineage: Eukaryota; Metazoa; Chordata; Mammalia; Primates; Hominidae.
CCACACUGAGCUACUGCCAAAUUGCCAGGAGAGUUUUUCAGUGUUUGUUUGGGGGAUAGGGUAACAAUAGGAUGGCCUUUGGAGAUUGUGUCUGACACACCUGUGGGCAGAAGGUAGGCUUUAAGUAUCCACCAUCUCUUCCUUUUAGAGUUUGCCAUCUCCGUACCACCACCACCACCACACACAGCACCCUCAAGACUCCCUGUGAUCCUGGGAUGCACUCAACGAAGAGUGUGUGGCCCAGCAGUAUCACAAGUCCAGUAGAACCAACCAGAUUAUUUUUAUUUUCAGGAUUUGAUGGAAAUGCUACAAGAGAAGCAGGCUCUCCCCUUCUGAAAUGAUGAGUGAUAAUGACCAUACAGGUCAACUUUUCCACCACUUGGAGGGAGCCUGUCAAAGAACAAAGGCAACAGAGAAGAGAGCAGAGCUGAGGUUGGGUGAGAGGGAGAAAUUCCUGAGUGCUUGAAUCCCACAUGCCGGAAGCCGCACCACACUUGGACUUCUCAAUACAGGAGCCAGUGAGUUUAUUUUUUCCUGACCUGGUUGGAUUUGGGCAUUCUCAAGAGUUUGGGGGUUGGGUGGGGGGCAUUUAGGGGAGAGAGCAGAAUGCAGAAUUGAGAAGGGGAAGAAGAGAGCUGCCUUCCACUUUAAUGAGCAUCUCCUACUUUUCCUCUGGUGCUUCUCAGCACUAAGUCCCUUUUACAAUAUACUGCUUGCUCCAUCCCCAUAAUGGAGGACACUCACUGGUAGACAAAGGAAGAGGGAGAGUGGCUUUCUCCUGGACUUCUGGGACCCAAGAACAUGGUAAAUGUCCAUGCCGUCUGUCUUUCCGCCCACAGAAUGGAGGGGAAACAUGUUCUAGGACAGCAGUCAUCAAUCUUAUUUAAGACAUGAAUCAAUCAGAAAUUCCGGUAGAAUCUAGAGACCAGAGGUCACAAACCACCUGCCUAUCGGGACCAUAUUUGACUCACUCAGAGUGUUCUGGUUGGUAUGCCAGGAUUCUCUAAAGAAAAUGUGAACUAAAUUGAGAUUUCAUCUCCAAAGAGAACCAGAUUUCUGCUUUCUCUUAAUCAGCCAUAAGGUCUGUCAAUACUGGGUCCCAUUUCCUCAAGGCAGUGAUCAACUGAAGCAGAGGAGUGAGUGCCUGCCUUAGAAGGCAUGUGCCCUCCCGUUUGCCCAAUCCUCACCCGCCCCAAGGUCUCCCCAACACUGAGCAUUGCUUGCCUUUUGUCAUCACCCUUGCAUUACUGUUUCUUAUGGUGGAGAGAUAUUUAUUUGGACCCAAGUCUCUACCAGAAGUGACGAAAUAAAAGACAGACCCAGAAGGCUGAAUAUGUCAGAAUAAAAGGGAGAAGGCAUAUUUCUCUGUGGAAGAAAAUAAUAUUCCUCUGUGUUUAAGAGACUGGGUUCUCACACCUGAUGUAUUUCAUUCUUCUAUAUUCCCACCUAGCUCUGCAGGCAUUUAUUGGCAGGCUACACCUAAGACUUUCUCUGCAGAAAAAUGUUCUAGAUGCACAGAUUUGGGGGCUUGAUUGACAACCUGACACCUCACUCUAAAUCCGCAUGGGUCUGUUGACCUCAGGUGAGAACACUUGUUCUAAGGGAGUGGAAGGUCUUUAUUAAGAUAACCCUGAGAAAUAAAAGUCUGCCUUGAGCAUUGUAUGGGACUCUUUUUUGUUUGUUUGUUUGUUUUUAUUUUGAGACACUGUCUCU